This 193-nucleotide microRNA precursor is filed under the name Oryza barthii. Its description in RNAcentral is "MIR812 microRNA precursor family". It matches the Rfam family "MIR812 microRNA precursor family". Lineage: Eukaryota; Viridiplantae; Streptophyta; Magnoliopsida; Poales; Poaceae. The record is from Rfam by way of RNAcentral.
GGUGACUUUAUUUUUCAGUUUUUAUAUAACAUUUGACUCCUCGUCUUAUUUAAAAAUUUUCUAUGAUUAAUAGUUUUAUUGUUAUUACAUGAUAAAACAUAAAUAGUACUUUAUGCGUAAUUAUUUUUUUCAUAGUUUAUUUAAAUAAGACGGACAAUCAAACGGUGUGCACAAACCCAAAAAUGAAGUUUUU